RNAcentral lists this ribosomal RNA (403 nucleotides) under uncultured bacterium. RNAcentral's name for it is "partial 16S ribosomal RNA". It matches the Rfam family "Bacterial small subunit ribosomal RNA", at positions 28 to 526 of the family's 1533-position model. The record is from RNAcentral.
GACGAACGCUGGCGGCGUGCCUAAUACAUGCAAGUCGAACGCAGUGGGGACGGGUGAGUAACCCGUGGGUAACCUCCCAUCAGAUGGGAUAACACUUGGAAACAGGUGCUAAACCGAUACUGAUUGAUGGACCCGCGGUGCAUUAGCUAGUUGGUGAGGUAACGGCCCACCAAGGCCACAAUGCAUAGCCGACCUGAGAGGGAGAUCGGCCACACUGUGACUGGUACACGGCACAGACUCCGACGGGAGGCAGCAGUAGGGAAUCUUCGGCAAUGUACGAAAGUCUGAACGAGCAACGCCGCGUGAGUGAAGAAGGUUUUCGGAUCGAAAACCUCUGUUGUUAGAGAAGCGGUAUCUAACCAGAAAGCCAAGGCUAACGACGUGCCAGCAGCCGCGGUAAUAC